UGGGGAAUCUUGGACAAUGGGGGCAACCCUGAUCCAGCCAUGCCGCGUGAGUGAUGAAGGCCUUAGGGUCGUAAAGCUCUUUCGCCUGUGAAGAUAAUGACGGUAGCAGGUAAAGAAACCCCGGCUAACUCCGUGCCAGCAGCCGCGGUAAUACGGAGGGGGCAAGCGUUAUUCGGAUUUACUGGGCGUAAAGGGCGUGUAGGCGGCUUGAUAGGUCAAAGGUGAAAGCCCUCGGCUCAACCGAGGAACUGCCUUUGAAACCAUCUAGCUCGAGGCCGGGAGGGGGUAGCGGAAUUCCUGGUGUAGCGGUGAAAUGCGUAGAUAUCAGGAGGAACACCAGUGGCGAAGGCGGCUACCUGGACCGGUUCUGACGCUGAGGCGCGAAAGCGUGGGGAAGCAAACGAGGAUUAGAUACCCUGGUAGUCCACGCUGUAAAACGAUGGGUGCUCGGUGUUGCGGGUGUUGACCCCUGCAAUGCCUUAGCUAACGCGUUAAGCA
This 498-nucleotide ribosomal RNA is filed under the name uncultured bacterium. Its description in RNAcentral is "bacterial SSU rRNA". It matches the Rfam family "Bacterial small subunit ribosomal RNA", at positions 355 to 866 of the family's 1533-position model. The record is from RNAcentral.